CCUACGGGAGGCAGCAGUGAGGAAUAUUGGUCAAUGGACGAGAGUCUGAACCAGCCAAGUAGCGUGAAGGAUGACUGCCCUAUGGGUUGUAAACUUCUUUUAUAUGGGAAUAAAACGUUCCACGUGUGGGAUUUUGUAUGUACCAUAUGAAUAAGGAUCGGCUAACUCCGUGCCAGCAGCCGCGGUAAUACGGAGGAUCCGAGCGUUAUCCGGAUUUAUUGGGUUGAAAGGGAGCGUAGGUGGAUUGUUAAGUCAGUUGUGAAAGUUUGCGGCGCAACCGUAAAAUUGCAGUUGAAACUGGCAGUCUUGAGUACAGUAGAGGUGGGCGGAAUUCGUGGUGUAGCGGUGAAAUGCUUAGAUAUCACGAAGAACUCCGAUUGCGAAGGCAGUUCACUGGACUGCAACUGACACUGAGGCUCGAAAGUGUGGGUAUCAAACAGGAUUAGAUGCCCCAGUAGUC
RNAcentral lists this ribosomal RNA (460 nucleotides) under uncultured bacterium. RNAcentral's name for it is "partial 16S ribosomal RNA". It matches the Rfam family "Bacterial small subunit ribosomal RNA", at positions 338 to 795 of the family's 1533-position model. The record is from RNAcentral.